Molecule: small RNA, 73 nt
Filed under: Klebsiella pneumoniae
Lineage: Bacteria; Pseudomonadati; Pseudomonadota; Gammaproteobacteria; Enterobacterales; Enterobacteriaceae
Description: RtT sRNA
Rfam family: RtT RNA
About the family: This family represents a bacterial cis-regulatory element known as RtT RNA. The exact function of RtT is unknown although it is thought that it may be involved in changing the cellular response in relation to amino acid starvation.
Source: RNAcentral
GAGAAGCUUCGACUAAGGUUCGACUCGAGCGAAGCGAGAGAACGUUGCCGCAGGCAACGGCCCGAAGGGCGAG